GUGCUGCACAUGCUGCAGGCAUGCACUAGCGAACAAAGAAGAUGUACUUUCUGCCCUUGAGAAGCUUCUGAUCCAGAGGGAGACAAGACAAAUCUAGAUGUUUGGACAUGAACUUGAUGGGUGCUCACCUUGUUAUUCUCCUGGAGAAGGUUACCUCUGGAAUGUUGAUUGCCUGACACAUGUGCCUGUUCAGCAAGAGGGCACAGCACAUUUCUGAUGCUGGAGAAUGGCCUCAGGCAAAGAGAUGCAGGCUGCAUGUUCAGAAAGCUCUGUGGAUGCCUCUGGAGUAGAAGGAAGGGAUGCGGUGACUAAAUUCCAAGGGGCAGGAGAUAACAUCUCUGGACAAAGCCAGCUGCCAUGCUGUGAGGACACUCAGGCAGCCCUGCCAAGAGGCCUUGGUGGGGAGGGACUUCCAACUGCUAGGUGUGUGAGCUGUCUCAGAAGCACAUUCUCCAGCCCUGGUCCAGCCUGGAGAUAACUGCAGCCCCAACCCACAGCUUGAAUGCAACCUUGUGAGAG
Molecule: long non-coding RNA, 519 nt
Organism: Hipposideros armiger (great roundleaf bat)
Lineage: Eukaryota; Metazoa; Chordata; Mammalia; Chiroptera; Hipposideridae
Exons: 4
Source: RefSeq, a predicted model, not a curated record